CAGUAGCCGCGGUAAUACGUAGGGUGCGAGCGUUGUCCGGAAUUAUUGGGCGUAAAGAGCUUGUAGGCGGUCUGUCGCGUCCGCUGUGAAAACCCGAGGCUCAACCUCGGGCCUGCAGUGGGUACGGGCAGACUAGAGUGCGGUAGGGGAGAACGGAACUCCUGGUGUAGCGGUGGAAUGCGCAGAUAUCAGGAAGAACACCGAUGGCGAAGGCAGUUCUCUGGGCCGUAACUGACGCUGAGAAGCGAAAGCGUGGGGAGCGAACAGGAUUAGAUACCCCUGUAGUCCCUGUCUCUUAUAC
Molecule: ribosomal RNA, 301 nt
Filed under: uncultured bacterium
Lineage: Bacteria
Description: partial 16S ribosomal RNA
Rfam family: Bacterial small subunit ribosomal RNA
Source: RNAcentral